CGACCGGCGCACGGGUGAGUAACACGUAUGCAACCUGCCCUCUUCAGGGGGACAACCUUCCGAAAGGGAGGCUAAUCCCGCGUAUAUCGGUUUCGGGCAUCCGAGAUCGAGGAAAGAUUCAUCGGAAGAGGAUGGGCAUGCGGCGCAUUAGCUAGACGGCGGGGUAACGGCCCACCGUGGCGAUGAUGCGUAGGGGUUCUGAGAGGAAGGUCCCCCACACUGGUACUGAGACACGGACCAGACUCCUACGGGAGGCAGCAG
RNAcentral lists this ribosomal RNA (261 nucleotides) under uncultured bacterium. RNAcentral's name for it is "partial 16S ribosomal RNA". It matches the Rfam family "Bacterial small subunit ribosomal RNA", at positions 92 to 354 of the family's 1533-position model. The record is from RNAcentral.